This is a long non-coding RNA of Eriocheir sinensis (Chinese mitten crab), 1279 nucleotides long. RefSeq lists it as uncharacterized. The transcript is spliced from 4 exons. The record is from RefSeq and is a predicted model, not a curated record. Lineage: Eukaryota; Metazoa; Arthropoda; Malacostraca; Decapoda; Varunidae.
GCUAUUUCCGACUGGUAAAUGCAACUGAUAAUGAGAUUUAAAUGAUCAGAAUGUUUAAAUCCACUGGUAAUGUAUUGUUAUAAACUGCCAUUAAUAAUACCUUUUUUCAUAGUCUCCAUGUCUGAUUUUUGUCUUGAUGACGCUAAAGUUCUCUAAGAAACAAUGGGUAAAACAUAAGGUACUAUAGGUUCCCGCCGGAGGUCAAUUAUAUGGGAGACUGAACAUAUUCUAUUGCAAUAAGCAUGAAAUUGAUAUUUCCAGAAUGUGGAAAAGAGCAGUGUGGCUGGAGGGCAGAAAAGAAGAGGAGUGUGUGGUACCAUCUACCUGGAUAGUUGAAGGCAGACAGAUUUUAUAUUGGCCAUCAAAAGUUGAUGCUCACAAUGCCUUAACUAGUCGAGAAGACCCAGACCCCAAAUCAUGGAGAAAAUUUCCAUUGAUAAAAGUAAAAAUAGCUUCUGACAGUUACGAGGAAUGUGAGCAGUACCAGCUGACAUCAGCAGUAGACGGUGACAGAAGCAGCAGUGACCUGGAUGGGGAAGACGGUUUGACCUUGCGUGGCAGGAAGAAACGUAUGAAGAAAGCUCUGCCAAAGGACUUUGUUAGUAGUCAGGAUUUGGAUUGUCCACACUUUGCCUCAGGGCCAUCUUUACAAGUAACAGUUGCUCCCCCCCCACCACAAAAGGUUGUCCCAUACAACCAUCAACACAAAGGCUUGCCAAGUGCAGCAAGAAAAAAAUCUGAAAAGACAUAAUUCUGACAGAUGUGAAAGUAACCGGCAAAAGAAGAGUAGUUACCAACAGCAAGAUGAAGGCAGUCAGCCUGAUACCCUACAUAUAGCUAGCAGCAGUGGCAGUCAACACGGCAGAUUGGACCUGCACGACAACCACAGCCUGAGGAACAGAUCUGACCGACAGACGAGACAUGACAGCAGUGACCAACAAAGCAGACAUGACAGCAGCGAUUGACACAGCAGACAUGACAGCAGCGAUUACACAGCAGACAUGACAGCAGCGAUUACACAGCAGACAUGACAGCAGUGACCGACACAGCAGACAUGACAGCAGUGACCAACACAAAAGACAUGACAGUCGUGGCCGACGCAGCAGACAUGACAGCAGUGACCGACACAACAGACAUGACAGUCAUGACCGACACAACAGACAUGACAGCAGUGACCGACAAGGGAGCGAUUGGAUUCAGAAUCUGUCUAGUGAAGACCUUGAUGAUGUUCAACCCUUGAACCAAGGAGAAAACCGUCAGAGUGGAUUUCCUAUGGAUU